CAGAUCCAUUUGGAGGACGUGAAAUUGAGCAAAAGUUUUUUCGAAGCGCAACAGAGCAGGAAGACGAUGAAAUCAAAUCCAGAGAUAAGAGCGACAGGCAGUGACACAUCCACGCGAGUACAACCACAGGAAGUCCUUGGCACCAAACCGGUAUUUGGGCGGAUCCAUCAAAAUGUUAAUGCAUGAUCAGAAGUUCCAAAGCCAAAGGAUGUUUUAGCUUUUAUAGACAGUCAGACAUUCUUGUUUCAGAUGAAUUAAUUCCGUUAGCGAGACAAAGGAAGAGCUCCCUUAUAACAUUAAAAGCCACUCAGUGGUCUGGAACCAUCAUCUUCUCUGUGUUCGAUCACCUUCUAUUUCCAGCACUUAUUGAUUCCGUGUGGAAGUCUGUCGAUGGGCCGCGUCCCCGUAGGAAGGUGGACGCGUCCGUGUGUCGGGGGGGCGUUUGCAGGCGGAGCGGCCCGGAUGGCUCCCUGCAUGUACGUGAGAUGAGGAUGUGCUUGUUGAAGUGGUAAACAGACUGUUGGCCCCGUGCCAACCGUCCUGCAGCUGGAAGAGAAGAAGAAGGAGAAGAAGAAGAAGAAGAAGACGACGUCCCAGUAAACAGGAAGCAGUUCAUUACUGGUGAUACCCUGACAAUGAGGUUAUGUGCCGAUAAUUGGGAUUAAAUUGGGAGAUUAAAAUGCUUCCGCGGAGGCGUUUUCCC
Long non-coding RNA from Gasterosteus aculeatus aculeatus (three-spined stickleback), 703 nucleotides. NCBI's taxonomy places the organism in Eukaryota, Metazoa, Chordata, Actinopteri, Perciformes, Gasterosteidae. The record is from Ensembl.